UUAUCAAGGGGUGCUCGUCGUUGACGGGCUGAGAACAGACCCUUCAGACCUGAUACGGGUAAUGCCGCCGUGGGAAUGAUAAG
This 83-nucleotide non-coding RNA is filed under the name bovine gut metagenome. Its description in RNAcentral is "TPP riboswitch (THI element)". It matches the Rfam family "TPP riboswitch aptamer (THI element)", at positions 6 to 94 of the family's 105-position model. Rfam says of the family: Vitamin B(1) in its active form thiamin pyrophosphate (TPP) is an essential coenzyme that is synthesised by coupling of pyrimidine and thiazole moieties in bacteria. The previously detected thiamin-regulatory element, thi box was extended, resulting in a new, highly conserved RNA secondary structure, the THI element, which is widely distributed in eubacteria and also occurs in some archaea. Analysis of operon structures identified a large number of new candidate thiamin-regulated genes, mostly transporters, in various prokaryotic organisms. The record is from RNAcentral.